Molecule: ribosomal RNA, 253 nt
Filed under: uncultured bacterium
Lineage: Bacteria
Description: partial 16S ribosomal RNA
Rfam family: Bacterial small subunit ribosomal RNA
Source: RNAcentral
UACGAAGGGGGCUGGCGUUGCUCGGAAUCACUGGGCGUAAAGCGCACGUAGGCGGAUUGCUAAGUCAGGGGUGAAAUCCUGGAGCUCAACUCCAGAACUGCCUUUGAUACUGGCGACCUUGAGUCCGGGAGAGGUGAGUGGAACUGCGAGUGUAGAGGUGAAAUUCGUAGAUAUUCGCAAGAACACCAGUGGCGAAGGCGGCUCACUGGCCCGGUACUGACGCUGAGGUGCGAAAGCGUGGGGAGCAAACAGG